RNAcentral lists this ribosomal RNA (463 nucleotides) under uncultured bacterium. Its description in RNAcentral is "bacterial SSU rRNA". It matches the Rfam family "Bacterial small subunit ribosomal RNA", at positions 331 to 794 of the family's 1533-position model. The record is from RNAcentral.
CCAGACUCCUACGGGAGGCAGCAGUGGGGAAUAUUGCACAAUGGGGGGAACCCUGAUGCAGCGACGCCGCGUGGGUGAAGGAGCACCUCGGUGCGUAAAGCCCUAUCGGCAGGGAAGAAAAGCGAACAGGUUCGCCUGGACGGUACCUGACUAAGAAGCCCCGGCUAACUACGUGCCAGCAGCCGCGGUAAUACGUAGGGGGCAAGCGUUAUCCGGAUUCACUGGGUGUAAAGGGAGCGUAGACGGCGACGCAAGUCUGGAGUGAAAAUCCAGCGCUUAACGUUGGAAGUGCUUUGGAAACUGCCGGGCUGGAGUGCAGGAGGGGCAGGCGGAAUUCCUAGUGUAGCGGUGAAAUGCGUAGAUAUCAGGAGGAACACCGGCGGCGAAGGCGGCCUGCUGGACCGUGACUGACGUUGAGGCUCGAGAGCGUGGGGAGCAAACAGGAUUAGAUACCCCUGUAAGA